GACUCCGUAGCUCAGUUGGUAGAGCAAAUGACUCUUAAUCAUUGGGUCGAGGGUUCGACUCCCUCCGGGGUCA
Molecule: transfer RNA, 73 nt
Filed under: Odoribacter sp. OttesenSCG-928-A06
Lineage: Bacteria; Pseudomonadati; Bacteroidota; Bacteroidia; Bacteroidales; Odoribacteraceae
Also listed under: 1 other name
Description: tRNA-Lys
Rfam family: tRNA
About the family: Transfer RNA (tRNA) molecules are approximately 80 nucleotides in length.
Source: RNAcentral